RNAcentral lists this ribosomal RNA (2441 nucleotides) under Torulaspora microellipsoides. RNAcentral describes it as "small subunit ribosomal RNA". The stretch from base 1 to 1545 matches the Rfam family "Bacterial small subunit ribosomal RNA". Lineage: Eukaryota; Fungi; Ascomycota; Saccharomycetes; Saccharomycetales; Saccharomycetaceae. The record is from RNAcentral.
AAUAUUAAGAACAUGAUGUUGGUUCAGAUUAAACGCUAAAUAAGGACAUGACACAUGCAAAUUAAACGUUUAUUAUAUAUAAUAUAAUAAAUAUGUAGUGUAUACGUGAGUAAUUUAUAAGGAAUUAUGAACUAUAGAAUAAGUUAAAUGCUUUAUAAAAGAAUAUUAUAUAUUUGUCUAUAGUCAAGCCUAUAAUGGUUUAGGUAGUAGGUUAAUUAAGAGUUUAACCUAGCCAUCGAUCCAUAGUCAAUAAUUAAAGUUAUAAUGACCACGUUGACUUUGAAAUAUAGUCAAUAUCUAAAUGAUACAGCAGUGAGGAAUAUUGAACAAUGAUCGAAAGAUUGAUUCAGUUACUUAUUAGGAUGAUAUAUAAUUAUUUAUUUAUUUAUUUAUUUAUAUAUAAAAAAUAUAUAUAUAUAUAUAUAAAUUGAUUAAAAAUAAAAUCCAUAAAUAAUAAAAAUAAUGAUAUUAAUUACCAUUAAUUAAUAAUAAUGGAUAUAAUUAUAUAAUUUAUUUAUAUAAUUAUAUUUUAAUAGUCCUAACAAAUAUUUGUGCCAGCAGCUGCGGUAAUACAAAGGGGGCUAGCGUUAAUCAUAAUGGCUUAAAGGGUCCGUAGAAUAAUAUAUUUAUUUAUUUAUAUAUUAGAGUUAAUAAAUUUAAUUAAAGAAUUAUAAUAGUAAAGAUGAAAUAAUUAUAAUAAUUAUAAGACUGGUAUAUGUGAAAAUAUUAAUUAAAUAUUAACUGACAUUGAUGGACGAAAGCUAGAGUAGCAAUACGGAUUCGAUACCCGAGUAGUUCUAGCUGUAAACUAUGAACACCAUAAUUUAUUAAAUAAAUAAAUUAUAAAUGAAAAUGUAAGUGUUCCGCCUGAAGAGUACGUUCGCAAGAAUGAAACUCAAGACAAUAGACGGUUACAGACUUAAGCAGUGGAGCAUGUUAUUUAAUUCGAUAAUCCACGACUAAUCUUACCAUAUUUUGAAUAUAUUUAUUAAUAAUCGUUAAUAAUUUUACAGGCGUUACAUCGUUGUCUUCAGUUCGUGCCGCAAGGUCUUAGAUUAAGUUCAUUAACGAACAUAACUCCAUAUAUAUAUAUUAAAUUAUAUAUAAUAUUUAUAUCAUUUUAUAAAAUGAAAGGAAUUAAGACAAAUCAUGAUGAUCCUUAUAAUAUGGGUAAUAGACGUGCUAUAAAAAAAUAAUAAUAAAGUUAUAAAAUAAUAAUAUUAAAAUUAAUAACAUAAAAUAUUUUAAUCUUUAAUAUAUAUAUAUAUUAUAUAUAGUAUGAAUUAUAAUCUGAAAUUCGAUUAUAUGAAAAAAGAAUUGCUAGUAAUACGUAAAUUAGUAUGUUACGGUGAAUAUUCUAACUGUUUCGCACUAAUCACUCAUCACGCGUUGAAACAUAAUAUUAUCCUAAUAUAUAUAUUUAUAUUAAAUUAAUAUAAUAAUUAUUAUAUUUAAUAUAUUUAUUAUAUAUAAGAAAUAUUAUGAAUUAAUGCGAAGUUGAAAUACAGUUACCGUAGGGGAACCUGCGGUGGGCUUAUAAUUUUCUUUAAUAUUCCUCCUUUAUUUAUUUAUUAUUUUAAUAAUUAUUAAAAUAAUUAUACUUUUUAUAUAGUUUGAAAAACUAAUUAUUAAAUAAUGAAUAUAAUAAUAAUUCCAUAUACCCCCCAUCAUAUAUAAUAUGAUGGGGGUAGUUCUAGCUGUAAACUAUGAACACCAUAAUUUAUUAAAUAAAUAAAUUAUAAAUGAAAAUGUAAGUGUUCCGCCUGAAGAGUACGUUCGCAAGAAUGAAACUCAAGACAAUAGACGGUUACAGACUUAAGCAGUGGAGCAUGUUAUUUAAUUCGAUAAUCCACGACUAAUCUUACCAUAUUUUGAAUAUAUUUAUUAAUAAUCGUUAAUAAUUUUACAGGCGUUACAUCGUUGUCUUCAGUUCGUGCCGCAAGGUCUUAGAUUAAGUUCAUUAACGAACAUAACUCCAUAUAUAUAUAUUAAAUUAUAUAUAAUAUUUAUAUCAUUUUAUAAAAUGAAAGGAAUUAAGACAAAUCAUGAUGAUCCUUAUAAUAUGGGUAAUAGACGUGCUAUAAAAAAAUAAUAAUAAAGUUAUAAAAUAAUAAUAUUAAAAUUAAUAACAUAAAAUAUUUUAAUCUUUAAUAUAUAUAUAUAUUAUAUAUAGUAUGAAUUAUAAUCUGAAAUUCGAUUAUAUGAAAAAAGAAUUGCUAGUAAUACGUAAAUUAGUAUGUUACGGUGAAUAUUCUAACUGUUUCGCACUAAUCACUCAUCACGCGUUGAAACAUAAUAUUAUCCUAAUAUAUAUAUUUAUAUUAAAUUAAUAUAAUAAUUAUUAUAUUUAAUAUAUUUAUUAUAUAUAAGAAAUAUUAUGAAUUAAUGCGAAGUUGAAAUACAGUUACCGUAGGGGAACCUGCGGUGGGCUUAUAAUUUUC